GAUGAAGAACGCAGCGAAAUGCGAUACGUAGUGUGAAUUGCAGAAUUCAGUGAAUCAUCGAAUCUUUGAACGCACAUUGCACCUCUCGGUAUUCCGGGAGGUAUGCCUGUUCGAGCGUCAUUUGUACCCUCAAGCUCUGCUUGGUGUUGGGUGUUUGUUCCGCCUCUGUGUGUGAUCUCGCCUCAAAACAAUUGGCAGCCGGCGUACUUGUUUCGGAGCGCAGCACAUUUUGCGAUCCAGAUCAACGUACAGCGGCAUCCAAGAAGCCUUAUUUAACGCUCUUGACCUCGGAUCAGGUAGGGAUACCCGCUGAACUUAAGCAUAUCAAUAAGCGGAGGA
This 339-nucleotide unclassified non-coding RNA is filed under the name soil metagenome. RNAcentral's name for it is "partial contains 5.8S ribosomal RNA, internal transcribed spacer 2, and large subunit ribosomal RNA". The stretch from base 1 to 120 matches the Rfam family "5.8S ribosomal RNA", at positions 35 to 154 of the family's 154-position model. The record is from RNAcentral.